AUGUCAAUGCUGGUGUGCUGCGGGUAGCUCUGCAUGGUGCCAAAGGGCAGCUGCUGUGCCUGUGUCCUUACAGCCUCGCCUAUUAUAGGAAGGAUUUCUGACGUUCUGCUCAUGAGUGCAGCUUCUUGGCAGGAGUCAUUGUUCUUCAGGGGGAAAUAAAGAAAAAGGCUUUCUCCAUCCAGCCUUGUGGGGCCCCAGCCCUUACAGAGCUGGGGAGCAGGAAGCCAGGCCAAGCACAUAGCUGAACCCCUGCCAGGUCAGCUCUGUCCGGGAGUAUUGGUCGGGUGCCUGGGGCCUUUCCAGGGUCAUUUUGGACAUGGCUGGAGCUGUAGGCGUGAUUUCUGCCUUGCCCCAAAGCUGGGAUGGGGGUGUUGUGAUAUUGAAAAGCUCCAGGGAGGAGGGAAGAGGUAUCGUCAUCUCACUUUCCCUUCGAAGCUUUUCAGGAAAGCACAGCAUCAUUGGAGUUUGGGAUACGGCCACCCCACCCAAAUGAAGCCCACUCAUGCAUACCACUGGAGAUGGGGUAGGAAAUGCUUCACCCCUGUGCCCUUGUCAUUGCCACGGUCCAUUUUGUCCAAACCUGUGAGUUGCAUUCACUCAGCUGGGUCCUGUCACAUCUUGGAGCUUAGGGACAUGGUUAGUGAGCAUAGUGGUGAUGGGUUGAUGGCUGAAUGAGAUGAUCUUUGAGGUCUUUUCCAACCUUAAUCAUUCUAUAAUCCCUGUCAUGCUCCAGAGGGUGACAAAGGGGACAGUUGUUCAAUAGCAUCGCUGUGGAGGCUCUCCUACUCCCACCCCCAUCCUCUAAAAAAGAAGAGCCAUGAGACAAAAGUGAAAGAUACCUUUACUGUGUUUUUGUUUUGUUUGUUUUUACAGAUGAGGUGCUUCCCUUAGGGCUUUUACAGGCACUUGGAGCAAUAGCAAAAAGGCAGAGUGAGGUGGCAAGCGGCAAAGUCUGCG
Molecule: non-coding RNA, 957 nt
Organism: Meleagris gallopavo (turkey)
Lineage: Eukaryota; Metazoa; Chordata; Aves; Galliformes; Phasianidae
Source: RefSeq, a predicted model, not a curated record